GACGAACGCUGGCGGCGUGCUUAACACAUGCAAGUCGAACGGAAAGGCCCUGCUUUUGUGGGGUGCUCGAGUGGCGAACGGGUGAGUAACACGUGAGUAACCUGCCCUUGACUUUGGGAUAACUUCAGGAAACUGGGGCUAAUACCGGAUAGGAGCUCCUGCUGCAUGGUGGGGGUUGGAAAGUUUCGGCGGUUGGGGAUGGACUCGCGGCUUAUCAGCUUGUUGGUGGGGUAGUGGCUUACCAAGGCUUUGACGGGUAGCCGGCCUGAGAGGGUGACCGGCCACAUUGGGACUGAGAUACGGCCCAGACUCCUACGGGAGGCAGCAGUGGGGAAUAUUGCACAAUGGGCGGAAGCCUGAUGCAGCAACGCCGCGGGCGGGAUGACGGCCUUCGGGCUGUAAACCGCUUUCGCCUGUGACGAAGCGUGAGUGACGGUAAGGGGUAAAGAAGCACCGGCUAACUACGUGC
This 469-nucleotide ribosomal RNA is filed under the name uncultured bacterium. RNAcentral describes it as "partial 16S ribosomal RNA". It matches the Rfam family "Bacterial small subunit ribosomal RNA", at positions 28 to 508 of the family's 1533-position model. The record is from RNAcentral.